RNAcentral lists this long non-coding RNA (391 nucleotides) under Homo sapiens (human). RNAcentral's name for it is "HSALNT0382851". Lineage: Eukaryota; Metazoa; Chordata; Mammalia; Primates; Hominidae. The record is from RNAcentral.
AGCCAAGCCAUUGCAUCCCCUGUGACCUGCACGUAUAAGCCCAGAUGGCCUGAAGUAACUGAAGAAUCACAAAAGAAGUGAAUAUGCCCUGCCCCACCUUAACUGAUGACAUUCCAACACAAAAGAAGUGUAAAUGGCCAGUCCUUGCCUUAAGUGAUGACAUUACCUUGUAAAAGUCCUUUUCCUAGCUCAUCCUGGCUCAAAAAGCACCCCCACUGAGCACCUUGUGACCCCCCACUCCUGCCCGCCAGAGAACAAACCCCCUUUGAUGUAAUUUUCCUUUACCUACCCAAAUCCUAUAAAACAGCCCCACCCUUAUCUCCCUUCGCUGACUCUCUUUUCGGACUCAGCCCACCUGCACCCAGGUGAAAUAAACAGCUUUAUUGCUCAC